RNA transcript from Hevea brasiliensis (rubber tree), 5389 nucleotides. It is a transcript of the gene named probable disease resistance protein At4g27220, with no coding region annotated. The transcript has 7 exons. The record is from RefSeq and is a predicted model, not a curated record. Lineage: Eukaryota; Viridiplantae; Streptophyta; Magnoliopsida; Malpighiales; Euphorbiaceae.
AGAAGUUUCGUUGAUACUUGAUAGCAUUCGUCUUCCAAUAUCCUACUCCUCUGUUCACAAGUGGUUGACCUCCUUAUUUUAUGCUCUCUCUCUCUCUCUGCUUGCGCUCCCCAGCCUUACUAAGCAGCCAUCCGUCUCUCCUUGCUCUCCGUUGAGGAAAUGAUUUGGAAUCCAGUGAUUUCCCUCGCAUCCAAACUUGCCGAGUAUCUUUUUUCGCCCAUCGGGCGUCAGAUCGGUUAUGUGUUCAACCACAAAAGCAACAUACAGGAGCUGAAAGUUCAAUCUGAUAAGCUGCAAGGUGAAAGACAGAGUGUGCAGCACCGCGUGGAUGAGGCUAAAAGACAUGGGGAAGAAAUUGAAGACAUGGUAGACAAGUGGCUGAAAAGUGUGGAUGAUGCUACUUUAGAGGUAGACAAAAUUCUACACGAUAAUGACACGGCAAACAUGAAGUGCUUCAUGGGAUUGUGUCCCAAUUUGAAGAUGCGUCACCAGCUCAGUAAGAAAGCUAAGAAGAAGAAGAAGGUGGUUGUCCAAAUACAAGCAGAAGGGAAAUUUGAUAGAGUUUCCUACCAUACCUCUCCACCUUGGACUGGGCCUGCCAAAGGUUACGAGGUCUUUGAAUCAAGAACUUUAGUUUUAAAGGAAAUCGUGGAGGCAUUAAAGGAUGAUGAAGUUAAUAUGAUUGGGGUGUAUGGGAUGGGAGGCGUUGGUAAGACCACCUUUGUGAAAGAGGUUGCCUCUCAAGUCAUGGAAGAGGGCAUAUUCAGAAAGGUGGUUACAGCAACAGUAACCCACAUGGCUGAUAUAAAAAGAAUCCAACAAGAAAUUGCAGAGUGGUUAGGUUGCAGACUGGUUGAGGAGACCGUUAGGGUACGAGCAACUCGGUUGAGUGAGCAGCUCAAACAAGAGGAGAAAAUUCUCAUAAUUCUGGAUGAUAUUUGGGUGAGAAUCAGACUGGAGGAAAUAGGAAUUCCAUUUGGAAAUGAUCAUAAUAAAGGUUGCAAGAUAUUGAUGACCUCCAGAAAUCAAAAUGUAUUUUUGGAGAUGGAUGUGGUGAGAAUUUUCCGGCUUGAAGUUUUACAAGAAAAAGAAGCAUGGCAUUUGUUUCAGAAGAAAGUGGGCAAUGUGAAUCAUCCCAAUUUGGCUAUGGAAGUAGCAAAGAGGUGUGCUGGUUUACCUAUUUUAAUUGUGACUGUUGCAACAGCAUUGAAAAAUAAGCAGUUGUUUGAAUGGAAGAAUGCCUUGGAACAACUAAAAAGGUUUGAUGAUAGCGAAAUGGAUGAGCAAGUUACCUCUGCUUUAAAGUUGAGUUACAACUUUUUGAAAGGUGAGGAAAUCAAGUCAUUGUUCUUACUUUGUGGACGGCAUGUAUUUCGUAGCUAUGAAGUUGACAACUUGCUGAAAUAUGCUGUGGGCUUGGGUUUAUUCAAACGAAGCAGAACAUUGGAGGAAGCAAGAAAUAGACUUCAUAAAUAUGUUAGUGACCUCAAAGCUUCUUGUUUGCUGCUAGAAGGCAUCCAUGAAGGAGACGUCAUGAUGCAUGAUGUUGUUCGCAAUUUUGCAAUCUCUGUUGCAUCCACAGAUCAUCAUGUCUUCAUUUUAGCAUAUGACACUGUAUUGGAAUGGCCGUCAAAGGAUGAGCUUGAACGGUGCUCUGCAAUAUAUUUGCGCCAAUGUGAGAUUCCUGAGCUUCCUGCAGCAUUUGAAUGCCCAAAACUGGAGUCAUUUCUACUGGAUAAUUAUCUAUUGGAUGGUCAGAAUGCCUUUUUGAAAAUCCCAGAUGACUUUUUUAGUACAAUGAAAGAACUAAAAGUCUUGGAUCUGACAGGAUUGCAUUUAUCAUCUCUGCCUUCUUCACUUAAAUUUCUUCAGAACCUUCAAACAUUAUGUCUGGAUUAUUGUGUUCUGGAAGACAUAGCUGCAAUCGGAGAGCUUAACAACUUACAAGUUCUCAGCCUUUUGGGCUCUAAUAUUGUUCAGCUGCCAAGAGAAAUAGGGAAAUUGACUCGUCUAAGGCUUUUAGAUUUAGGCGAUUGCUCAAGCCUUGAAGUGAUUCCGCCAGAUGUCCUGUCAAGCUUGACUCGAUUAGAGGACUUACAUAUGGGACGCAGUUUUGUGCAGUGGGAGGGUGAAGAACAUGAUGCUCAAAGAGAAAAUGCUAACCUGGCGGAAUUGAAGCUUUUAACAAACCUACUCACUUUGGACAUACAUAUCAUUGAUGAAAAGAUCCUUCCCAGAGAUUUGUUCUUUGAAAAGCUGGAAAGAUUUAAAAUAGUCAUCGGAGACAUAUGGGAUUGGUCAUGUAAAGAUGAAACUUCAAGAAUGUUGAAACUCAAGCUCAACACAGGCUUUCAGUUGGAAAGCAUGAAACUUCUCCUGAAGAGAACUGAAUAUUUAUAUUUGGAUGACUUGAGAGGUGUGAAAAAUGUCCUCUGUGAAUUAAAUGGGCUAGGUUUUCCUGAGUUGAAACAUCUGCGCGUCCAAAAUAGUCAUGAAAUUCAAUAUAUCAUUGACUCAGUUAGGCUAGGACCACUGGUUUUUUUCCCUAUAUUGGAAUCAUUGUUCCUUGACCAUCUAAUUAACUUGGAGAAGAUAUGUUGUGGUGCUCUUGAGGCCAACUCUUUUAGCAGCUUAAGAAAGUUAAAUGUGAAGCACUGUGAUAAUUUGAAACAUCUCUUUUCAUUCUCUAUGGCUAGAGGCCUUGCACGACUAGAAGAACUCAAUGUUAGCAAUUGCAAACUCAUGGAAGGGAUUGUUGCGAGGGAAAUCGGAGAUGAUUCUGGCAAUGAUGUAGUCAUUGAGUUUACUCAAUUACACGCAAUGACACUAGAAUACCUACCUAAAUUCACAAGUUUUAUCUCCCAAGUCCAGGUUCCUUUUACUAAUGCAGGAUCUGAAGAAAUUGUAUCUGCAGAUCAUGAACCCGAAAUUCUCGUUCCAAUUUUCAAUAGAAAGAUUACAUUCCCCAAUUUGGCAGAGCUGAAACUCUCUUCAGUAAGUUUGGAGAAGAUAUGGAGCAACCAACUUACACAACUAUCUCCGCGUUUAACAAUCUUGGAGGUUGAUGGAUGUGAGAAUUUAAACUAUGUAUUUCCGUCUUCUGUAGUUGAAAGUCUGGCACAACUCAAAAGCCUAGAGAUAUGCAAUUGCAAGUCAGUGGAAGAAAUAAUAGCUCCACAAAGAUUAGGAGAAGAAACAGUGAUCAAGAUUCUAUUUCCAAAACUAGGCCUGCUAAAGCUCAGUGGUCUUCCAAAACUGACAAGUUUUUUCAGUGGUAACUCGAUUGAAUUCCCAUCUUUGAAAGUCCUGAUGAUAGGCCAUUGUGCCGAAUUGAGGACAUUUAUUUCCAGUUCUGAAAGUACCGACGUGGCAUCUAGUAGUGAAUUUGGACAAGAAGACUCAAUUCUUUUUGACGAAAAGGUUGCUUUCCCCGACUUGGAGAAGUUGCAUAUUAGGUUCUUUCCUAAGUUGAAAAUGAUAUGGCGUGAUCAUAUCCAAGCAAAUUCAUUCUGCAAGUUAGAAUUACUGGAGGUAGUAGCUUGCGAAGAGUUAUUGCAAAUCUUUCCCUCCAACAUUCUGAGAGGAUUCCAGAAAUUAGAAUGUCUAUGUGUAGCGAAUUGUCGUUCACUAAAAGAGGUGUUUGAUCUUCAAAUGUCGACAAACGUAAAAGAGAUGCAUGUUGAAGCGGCAGCCACUAAAUUGAGGAUUUUGAAAUUAAUGAACCUCCCAGUUAUGAAGCAUGUAUGGAAUGAGGAUCCUCAAAAAAUUCUCUCGUUUGCUAACCUAAGUUCAGUGGAUGUUUCCAGAUGUCCUAGUCUGAAUAGUCUCUUCCCACCUUCAAUUGCAAAAAAUCUUCCACGACUUGCAGAGACAAUUAUUAAUGAUUGUGGGUUGGUGGAAAUUGUUUCAAAGGAGGAAGGAUUAGAAGCAACUCCCAAGUUUGUGUUUCGUCAACUGAAGUCCUUGAAACUUUGGAGAUUGCAAAAAUUAAGGAGCUUCUACCCUGGAGUACAUGCUUUUGAGUGUCCCAUGCUGAAGUGCUUGAGAGUGGGUCACUGUGACAAUUUUAAAAUUUUUGCUUCUCAAUUUCAGGAGUUGCAAGAAACACAAGUGGAGAUUCAACCUUUAAGAAAGGUUAUUUCCAACUUGGAGGAAUUAACAUUAAGCAGCAACGAGAUCACAAUGAUAUGGCAAGGCCAGUUUGAAGACCGCUUUGACAAGCUAAAAGUUCUUGGCCUAUAUUGCUUUCAUGAUGCUUCAACAGAUUUCCCAUUCAAUCUCCUUCGAAAAUUCCCAAAUACGGAAAAACUUCAUGUGGUAUGCUCUGAUUUUAAUGAGAUAUUCCCAUAUGGUUUUGUUGUUGAAGAGUAUGCAAGGGCUUUUGCACAGAUACGACACUUAAGGCUGGAUUUCUUUCCCAAAAUGAAGCACAUAUGGAAUCCUGAAUCUCGACAUGUCCAAGUUCUUCAAAAUCUUGAAUCCCUGGAAAUAUGGAAUUGCGACAGUUUGGUUACCUUGGCACCACAUUCUGCAUCUUUCCAAAAUCUUACUACUCUAGAUGUGUGGCAGUGUGAAAUAUUAGUGAGCAUAAUAACAUCCUCCACAGCUAAAGAGAUGGUGAAUCUCACCAAAAUGAGUGUAAGAGAAUGCAAUAAGGUAACAGAAAUUGUAGUGAAUGGUGGAGAUGAAGAUCAACAACAAAGUGAGAUUGUUUUCAGCAAACUGAAAAGUAUAACGCUUCAUUGUUUAGAAAGCCUCACCAGCUUCUGCUCAAUGACAAGUUGCACCAUCAAAUUCCCAUCUUUGGUAGCACUAGCUGUGACACAUUGCCCCAGGAUGAGUGUUUUUGCUCGUGGAGUUGUAAGCGUACCAAGGCUACCGAAAGCAAUUCCAAUGGGAGAACGAGGUAAAAUGAUUUGGAAGAAGGACAUUAACGACACAAUAAAUCACUUGCAUAAACAAAGGAAUGCUCAGCUUUCUGAACAAGAAUGAUGCCCUACAUUGGCGCUUCAAGAAGCAGAGGUGAGCUGCAAUUUGGCUGCUUCAUGCAUCUCUCGACUUACAUGCAUUGAGUUUUAUCAAUAAAUGAAUGCUCAGCUUUCUGAACCAAAAUGAUGCAUGCCAUUGCCAUUGGACGCCCUCUAAUUGCAGGCUUGCAGCCAGCAUGCUGUUUCAUGCACAGAUUUUGGGAUCCGAUUCACAUUAUCUCUCUGGCUUGCUAGGUUUUUCCUUCACAAAAAAUUCACUUCAGCUGUAAUUUUUAUAUUCUUGUUGUGCACUGUGAUAAUAUAUGACAACUAAUAUAGACAAAAGAUGGCAGAAGACAAAUAUUUUGAAUCCAACACUUUAAUUAUUUUAUUAUAUUAUAUCCUUUUUUAUUUAGGCUUCA